Molecule: ribosomal RNA, 331 nt
Filed under: uncultured eukaryote
Lineage: Eukaryota
Description: partial 18S ribosomal RNA
Rfam family: Eukaryotic small subunit ribosomal RNA
Source: RNAcentral
CCCUUAGAUGUUCUGGGCCGCACGCGCGCUACACUGUUCGACGCAGCGAGUCUUAACCUUGACCGAAAGGUUUGGGUAAUCUUCAGCAAAGUCGAACGUGAUGGGGAUCGAUCAUUGCAAUUAUUGAUCGUGAACGAGGAAUUCCUAGUAAGUGCAAGUCAUCAGCUUGCGCUGAUUACGUCCCUGCCCUUUGUACACACCGCCCGUCGCUACUACCGAUUGAAUGGUUUAGUGAGAUCUCUGGAUUGACGCUGGCUAGGGGGCGACCCUUGGCCAGACUGUUGAGACACUGCUCAAACUUGAUCAUUUAGAGGAAGUAAAAGUCGUAACA